This 254-nucleotide ribosomal RNA is filed under the name uncultured bacterium. RNAcentral describes it as "partial 16S ribosomal RNA". It matches the Rfam family "Bacterial small subunit ribosomal RNA", at positions 524 to 776 of the family's 1533-position model. The record is from RNAcentral.
UACGGGGGGGGCAAGCGUUGUUCGGAAUUACUGGGCGUAAAGGGCUCGUAGGCGGCCAACUAAGUCGGAUGUGAAAUCCCCAGGCUUAACCUGGGAACUGCAUCCGAUACUGGAUGGCUUGAAUCCGGGAGAGGGAUGCAGAAUUCCAGGUGUAGCGGUGAAAUGCGUAGAUAUCUGGAGGAAAACCGGUGGCGAAGGCGGAAUCCUGGACCGGCAUUGACGCUGAGUGAGCGAAAGCCAGGGGAGCAAACGGG